RNAcentral lists this ribosomal RNA (3465 nucleotides) under Aureobasidium caulivorum. RNAcentral describes it as "SSU rRNA". The stretch from base 1 to 2079 matches the Rfam family "Eukaryotic small subunit ribosomal RNA". The record is from RNAcentral. Lineage: Eukaryota; Fungi; Ascomycota; Dothideomycetes; Dothideales; Saccotheciaceae.
UUAUCGUUUAUUUGAUAGUACCUUACUACUUGGAUAACCGUGGUAAUUCUAGAGCUAAUACAUGCUAAAAACCCCAACUUCGGAAGGGGUGUAUUUAUUAGAUAAAAAACCAACGCCCUUCGGGGCUCCUUGGUGAUUCAUAAUAACUAAACGAAUCGCAUGGCCUUGCGCCGGCGAUGGUUCAUUCAAAUUUCUGCCCUAUCAACUUUCGAUGGUAGGAUAGUGGCCUACCAUGGUAUCAACGGGUAACGGGGAAUUAGGGUUCUAUUCCGGAGAGGGAGCCUGAGAAACGGCUACCACAUCCAAGGAAGGCAGCAGGCGCGCAAAUUACCCAAUCCCGACACGGGGAGGUAGUGACAAUAAAUACUGAUACAGGGCUCUUUUGGGUCUUGUAAUUGGAAUGAGUACAAUUUAAAUCCCUUAACGAGGAACAAUUGGAGGGCAAGUCUGGUGCCAGCAGCCGCGGUAAUUCCAGCUCCAAUAGCGUAUAUUAAAGUUGUUGCAGUUAAAAAGCUCGUAGUUGAACCUUGGGCCUGGCUGGCCGGUCCGCCUCACCGCGUGUACUGGUCCGGCCGGGCCUUUCCUUCUGGGGAGCCGCAUGCCCUUCACUGGGCGUGUCGGGGAACCAGGACUUUUACUUUGAAAAAAUUAGAGUGUUCAAAGCAGGCCUUUGCUCGAAUACAUUAGCAUGGAAUAAUAGAAUAGGACGUGCGGUUCUAUUUUGUUGGUUUCUAGGACCGCCGUAAUGAUUAAUAGGGAUAGUCGGGGGCAUCAGUAUUCAAUUGUCAGAGGUGAAAUUCUUGGAUUUAUUGAAGACUAACUACUGCGAAAGCAUUUGCCAAGGAUGUUUUCAUUAAUCAGUGAACGAAAGUUAGGGGAUCGAAGACGAUCAGAUACCGUCGUAGUCUUAACCAUAAACUAUGCCGACUAGGGAUCGGGCGAUGUUAUCAUUUUGACUCGCUCGGCACCUUACGAGAAAUCAAAGUCUUUGGGUUCUGGGGGGAGUAUGGUCGCAAGGCUGAAACUUAAAGAAAUUGACGGAAGGGCACCACCAGGCGUAAACCUACUCGCAGCCGCAGUUAACUCUGCGCCGAAAAGCAGCCCGAAAGGGUGAGGUGGUGACCCGGGACGCGACGUCCCGAAUUUAAAUGCUAGUCUCGGACGCCCACCAGGUGGGGACGAGGCGACACGAUCAAACUGCGGGAAACUCCUUAGAGCCUCUGACUACUAAGCCGGCGUCCGAAAGGCGCCGGUGGCCACGUUAAUUGCGUCGGGUACAGUCAUAACGUCAGAGGAUUGGACAAUCCGCAUCCAAGCCCCUAAGGCCCUCGCGGGCUACGGGGAAGGUUCAGAGACUAAAUGGUUGUGGGUCGCCUUCGGGCGGCUUAAGAUAUAGUCCGGCCGUACGUGAAAGCGUACGGGUUAAAAAUUGGUUACCAAUAAACGGGAGCCUGCGGCUUAAUUUGACUCAACACGGGGAAACUCACCAGGUCCAGACACAAUAAGGAUUGACAGAUUGAGAGCUCUUUCUUGAUUUUGUGGGUGGUGGUGCAUGGCCGUUCUUAGUUGGUGGAGUGAUUUGUCUGCUUAAUUGCGAUAACGAACGAGACCUUAACCUGCUAAAUAGCCCGGCCCGCUUUGGCGGGUCGCCGGCUUCUUAGAGGGACUAUCGGCUCAAGCCGAUGGAAGUUUGAGGCAAUAACAGGUCUGUGAUGCCCUUAGAUGUUCUGGGCCGCACGCGCGCUACACUGACAGAGCCAACGAGUUCAUUUCCUUGCCCGGAAGGGUUGGGUAAUCUUGUUAAACUCUGUCGUGCUGGGGAUAGAGCAUUGCAAUUAUUGCUCUUCAACGAGGAAUGCCUAGUAAGCGUACGUCAUCAGCGUGCGUUGAUUACGUCCCUGCCCUUUGUACACACCGCCCGUCGCUACUACCGAUUGAAUGGCUGAGUGAGGCCUUCGGACUGGCCCAGGGAGGUCGGCAACGACCACCCAGGGCCGGAAAGUUGGUCAAACUCCGUCAUUUAGAGGAAGUAAAAGUCGUAACAAGGUUUCCGUAGGUGAACCUGCGGAAGGAUCAUUAAAGAGUAAGGGUGCUCAGCGCCCGACCUCCAACCCUCUGUUGUUAAAACUACCUUGUUGCUUUGGCGGGACCGCUCGGUCCCGAGCCGCCGGGGAUUCGUCCCAGGCGAGCGCCCGCCAGAGUUAAACCAAACUCUUGUUAUUAAACCGGUCGUCUGAGUUAAAAUUUUGAAUAAAUCAAAACUUUCAGCAACGGAUCUCUUGGUUCUCGCAUCGAUGAAGAACGCAGCGAAAUGCGAUAAGUAAUGUGAAUUGCAGAAUUCAGUGAAUCAUCGAAUCUUUGAACGCACAUUGCGCCCCUUGGUAUUCCGAGGGGCAUGCCUGUUCGAGCGUCAUUACACCACUCAAGCUAUGCUUGGUAUUGGGCGUCCGUCUCCCCGGAGGCGCGCCUUAAAGACCUCGGCGAGGCCUCACCGGCUUCAGGCGUAGUAGAAUUUAUUCGAACGUCUGUCAAAGGAGAGGACUUCUGCCGACCGAAACCUCCAUUUUUCUAGGUUGACCUCGGAUCAGGUAGGGAUACCCGCUGAACUUAAGCAUAUCAAUAAGCGGAGGAAAAGAAACCAACAGGGAUUGCCCUAGUAACGGCGAGUGAAGCGGCAACAGCUCAAAUUUGAAAGCUGGCCUUCGGGUCCGCAUUGUAAUUUGUAGAGGAUGCUUUGGGGAGGCCGCCUGUCUAAGUUCCUUGGAACAGGACGUCAUAGAGGGUGAGAAUCCCGUAUGUGACAGGAAAUGGCACCCUAUGUAAAGCUCCUUCGACGAGUCGAGUUGUUUGGGAAUGCAGCUCUAAAUGGGAGGUAAAUUUCUUCUAAAGCUAAAUAUUGGCGAGAGACCGAUAGCGCACAAGUAGAGUGAUCGAAAGAUGAAAAGCACUUUGGAAAGAGAGUUAAAAAGCACGUGAAAUUGUUGAAAGGGAAGCGCUUGCAAUCAGACUUGUCCAAACCGUUCGGCCGGUCUUCUGACCGGUUUACUCGGUUUGGGCAGGCCAGCAUCAGUUUCGGCGGCCGGAUAAAGGCUCUGGGAAUGUGGCCCCCUCUUCGGUGGGGGUGUUAUAGCCCGGGGUGUAAUACGGCCAGCCGGGACUGAGGUCCGCGCUUCGGCUAGGAUGCUGGCGUAAUGGUUGUAAGCGACCCGUCUUGAAACACGGACCAAGGAGUCUAACAUCUAUGCGAGUGUUCGGGUGUCAAACCCCUGCGCGUAAUGAAAGUGAACGGAGGUGGGAACCGCAAGGUGCACCAUCGACCGAUCCUGAUGUCUUCGGAUGGAUUUGAGUAAGAGCAUAGCUGUUGGGACCCGAAAGAUGGUGAACUAUGCCUGAAUAGGGUGAAGCCAGAGGAAACUCUGGUGGAGGCUCGCAGCGGUUCUGACGUGCAAAUCGAUCGUCAAAUUU